RNAcentral lists this ribosomal RNA (682 nucleotides) under Proteus mirabilis. Its description in RNAcentral is "partial 23S ribosomal RNA". It matches the Rfam family "Bacterial large subunit ribosomal RNA", at positions 1223 to 1890 of the family's 2925-position model. The record is from RNAcentral. Lineage: Bacteria; Pseudomonadati; Pseudomonadota; Gammaproteobacteria; Enterobacterales; Morganellaceae.
GUUGGGUAGGGGAGCGUUCUGUAAGCCUGCGAAGGUGUACUGUGAGGUAUGCUGGAGGUAUCAGAAGUGCGAAUGCUGACAUAAGUAACGAUAAUGCGGGUGAAAAACCCGCACGCCGGAAGACCAAGGGUUCCUGUCCAACGUUAAUCGGGGCAGGGUGAGUCGACCCCUAAGGCGAGGCUGAAAAGCGUAGUCGAUGGGAAACGGGUUAAUAUUCCCGUACUGGUGGUAACUGCGAUGGGGGAACGGAGAAGGCUAGGUUGUCCGGGCGACGGUCGUCCCGGUUCAAGCAGGUAGGCAGAGUGAUUAGGCAAAUCCGGUCACUUAAUGCUGAGAUGUGAUGACGAACCACUAAGGUGGUGAAGCAAUUGAUGCCCCGCUUCCAGGAAAAGCCUCUAAGCUUCAGGUUACCAACAAUCGUACCCCAAACCGACACAGGUGGUCAGGUAGAGAAUACUCAGGCGCUUGAGAGAACUCGGGUGAAGGAACUAGGCAAAAUGGUGCCGUAACUUCGGGAGAAGGCACGCUGGCGGUAGGUAAAGUCCCUCGCGGACGGCGCUGAAGCCAGUCGAAGAUACCAGCUGGCUGCAACUGUUUAUUAAAAACACAGCACUGUGCAAACACGAAAGUGGACGUAUACGGUGUGACGCCUGCCCGGUGCUGGAAGGUUAAUUGAUGGGGU